GGCGGGUCCUCAGGGCCAGAUCGUGGGUGGGUUUGUUGCUGGCAGCUUGGUAGCAGUUGGUGCUGUGUAUGUUAUCGCGGCGACGUUUAAUAACCCGAGUUAUCACCGGUUACCUGGUGAAGAUGAAGGGAGAAAUUCUGGGUCAGGCGGUGGUGGCGAGGGUCACUCUCCAUCUGUGUCCGGUGCCGGUGGAGGCGGAGGAGAUAGUGGACACACACAAGGUGGAGGUGAGUCGUGUGGGAUGGCUAUGUACAGUAGUCAUUCGCCGUCUGAUGUAAUCUGGGCACCCACUGCUAGGCCACCACUUCCUCCACCGCCCUUCUAAAGGAGAGAUGUAUUAAAGUUACUGUGAAUUUGUAGAUUUUUUUUCUUUGAAAGAAAAAAACCUUUGGGCGUUGCUUUUAUUUAUCAUCCUCAUUAUUGCUGUUUAAUUUUAUGUUUUCGGUGUUAAUGUAACGUUGUAGUGAUUCUAGCUUGGAG
This 480-nucleotide unclassified non-coding RNA is filed under the name Hevea brasiliensis (rubber tree). The record is from RNAcentral. Lineage: Eukaryota; Viridiplantae; Streptophyta; Magnoliopsida; Malpighiales; Euphorbiaceae.